GUGCCAGCAGCCGCGGUAAUACGAGAGGGGCAAGCGUUAUUCGGAAUGAUUGGGCGUAAAGAGCACGUAGGCGGUUUCUAAAAUCUACAAUAAGAAAAUCAAAGCUUCACUUUGAUAAAUAUUGUAUAUAGAUUCAGAGACUUGAGUAAGUAAGAGGAGAGUGGAAUUCCUGGAGUAGAGGUAAAAUUUGUUGAUCUCAGGAGGAACACCGAAAGCGAAGGCAAUUCUCUAGUACUUUACUGACGUUGAGGUGCGAAAGCGUGGGGAUCAAAAGGGAUUAGAUACCCCGGUAGUCC
RNAcentral lists this ribosomal RNA (296 nucleotides) under uncultured bacterium. RNAcentral describes it as "partial 16S ribosomal RNA". It matches the Rfam family "Bacterial small subunit ribosomal RNA", at positions 505 to 796 of the family's 1533-position model. The record is from RNAcentral.